RNAcentral lists this ribosomal RNA (444 nucleotides) under Triticum aestivum (bread wheat). RNAcentral describes it as "partial small subunit ribosomal RNA". Lineage: Eukaryota; Viridiplantae; Streptophyta; Magnoliopsida; Poales; Poaceae. The record is from RNAcentral.
AUGCGUGAUCUCAAACACGCGGCUGGAGCUUGGGUCGACGAACUUCCCUCAGUGCUUUGGGGGCUGCGGACCACACCUAAUCGGUCGACCGGAAGAACUCCAUUCUUCUUGGUCGACGGAGCUGAAGCAGUCUUGCCGAGUGAUCUUCUCCACAAUGCUCCCCGAGUUGAAAUCUACAACGAAGCAGAGGCUGAACAAGCGCCGCAGGACGCAGUCGACCUCUUAGAGGAAGAAAGGGAGAUGGCUCUGAUCCGGUCGACCAUCUACCAACAAGAUUUGCGUCGUUUCCACGCCAGAAAUGUGAGAGGUCGAGCCUUCCAGGAAGGAGAUUUGGUUCUCCGAGUGGAUCAGCACAAACCACACAAGCUUGCUCCUUGGGAAGGCCCCUUCAUCGUCACCAAGGUUCUCCACAACGGGGCGUCGUCUUUACAACGUCAAGCAUAA